GGCGAACGCUGGCGGCGUGCCUAAUACAUGCAAGUCGAACGCACUCUCGUUUAGAUUGAAGGAGCUUGCUCCUGAUUGAUAAACAUUUGAGUGAGUGGCGGACGGGUGAGUAACACGUGGGUAACCUGCCCUAAAGUGGGGGAUAACAUUUGGAAACAGAUGCUAAUACCGCAUAAAACCUAACACCGCAUGGUGUAGGGUUGAAAGAUGGUUUCGGCUAUCACUUUAGGAUGGACCCGCGGUGCAUUAGUUAGUUGGUGAGGUAAAGGCUCACCAAGACCGUGAUGCAUAGCCGACCUGAGAGGGUAAUCGGCCACACUGGGACUGAGACACGGCCCAGACUCCUACGGGAGGCAGCAGUAGGGAAUCUUCCACAAUGGACGAAAGUCUGAUGGAGCAACGCGCGUGAGUGAAGAAGGUUUUCGGAUCGUAAAACUCUGUUGUUGGAGAAGAAUGUAAUCUGAUAGUAAACUGAUCAGGUAGUGA
RNAcentral lists this ribosomal RNA (486 nucleotides) under uncultured bacterium. RNAcentral describes it as "bacterial SSU rRNA". It matches the Rfam family "Bacterial small subunit ribosomal RNA", at positions 28 to 493 of the family's 1533-position model. The record is from RNAcentral.